RNAcentral lists this ribosomal RNA (1517 nucleotides) under metagenome. Its description in RNAcentral is "bacterial SSU rRNA". It matches the Rfam family "Bacterial small subunit ribosomal RNA". The record is from RNAcentral.
AGAGUUUGAUCCUGGCUCAGAGUGAACGCUGGCGGCGCGCUUAACACAUGCAAGUCGAACGCGAAAGUCACCUUCGGGUGGCGAGUAGAGUGGCGGACGGGUGAGUACAACGUGGGUAACCUGCCCCUGAAUUGGGAACAACCCUUCGAAAGGAGGGCUAAUACCGAAUAAUAUCCAGUUCACUCAAGUGAUUUGGAUCAAAGGAGGCCUCUGUUUCAUGCUUUCGUUUGGGGAGGGGCUCACGCCCCAUUAGCUAGUUGGUGAGGUAAUGGCUCACCAAGGCUGCGAUGGGUAGCCGACCUGAGAGGGUGAUCGGCCACACUGGGACUGAGACACGGCCCAGACUCCUACGGGAGGCAGCAGUGAGGAAUUUUCCGCAAUGGGCGAAAGCCUGACGGAGCGACGCCGCGUGCGUGAUGAAGGCCCUCGGGUCGUAAAGCGCUGUCGAAGGGGAAGAACUGUACUUUGGCUAAUACCCAUCGUAUUUGACGGUACCCUUCAAGGAAGCCCCGGCUAACUCCGUGCCAGCAGCCGCGGUAAUACGGGGGGGGCAAGCGUUGCUCGGAAUCAUUGGGCGUAAAGGGCUCGUAGGCGGCCCAUCAAGUUGGUUGUGAAAUCCCUCGGCUUAACCGAGGAACUGCGACCAAUACUAGUGGGCUUGAGUGCGGGAGAGGCGAGCGGAAUUCCAUGUGUAGCGGUGAAAUGCGUAGAUAUAUGGGGGAACACCGGUGGCGAAGGCGGCUCGCUGGACCGCAACUGACGCUGAGGAGCGAAAGCUAGGGGAGCAAACAGGAUUAGAUACCCUGGUAGUCCUAGCUGUAAACGAUGGGUACUUGGUGUGGUGGGUGUCGAUCCCUGCCGUGCCGAAGCUAACGCGUUAAGUACCCCGCCUGGGGAGUACGGUCGCAAGUCUGAAACUCAAAGGAAUUGACGGGGGCCCGCACAAGCGGUGGAGCAUGUGGUUUAAUUCGAUUCAACGCGAAGAACCUUACCUGGGUUUGAACUGCAGUGGACCGCCCUAGAGAUAGGGCUUCCCUUCGGGGCUGCUGCAGAGGUGCUGCAUGGCUGUCGUCAGCUCGUGUCGUGAGAUGUUGGGUUAAGUCCCGCAACGAGCGCAACCCUUGCCUGUAGUUACCAGCGAGUAAUGUCGGGGACUCUACGGGGACUGCCGGUGAUAAACCGGAGGAAGGUGGGGAUGACGUCAAGUCCUCAUGGCCUUUAUGUCCAGGGCUACACACGUGCUACAAUGGUCGGUACAAUGUGUUGCAAACUCGCGAGAGUGAGCUAAUCACAAAAAGCCGAUCUCAGUUCGGAUUGAAGUCUGCAACUCGACUUCAUGAAGUUGGAAUCGCUAGUAAUCGCGUAUCAGCAUGACGCGGUGAAUACGUUCCCGGGCCUUGUACACACCGCCCGUCACAUCACGAAAGCUGGCUGUACUAGAAGUCGCUGAGCUAACCCUUCGGGGAGGCAAGCGCCGACGGUAUGGUUGGUGAUUGGGGUGAAGUCGUAACAAGGUA